RNAcentral lists this ribosomal RNA (200 nucleotides) under uncultured prokaryote. RNAcentral's name for it is "partial 16S ribosomal RNA". It matches the Rfam family "Bacterial small subunit ribosomal RNA", at positions 1182 to 1382 of the family's 1533-position model. The record is from RNAcentral.
AUGUCAAAUCAUCAUGCCCCUUACGUCUAGGGCUACAGGCGUGCUACAAUGGCCAGUACAAAGAGAAGCAAUACCGUAAGGUGGAGCAAAUCUCCAAAACUGGUCUCAGUUCGGAUUGGAGUCUGCAACUCGACUCCAUGAAGUUGGAAUCGCUAGUAAUCCUGAAUCAGAAUGUCAGGGUGAAUACGUUCCCGGGUGUU